Molecule: long non-coding RNA, 378 nt
Filed under: Homo sapiens (human)
Lineage: Eukaryota; Metazoa; Chordata; Mammalia; Primates; Hominidae
Description: non-protein coding lnc-PRAMEF11-2:1
Source: RNAcentral
AUCAUUUCCCAUUCUAUGCCAGGUGCUUAGCUACAGCUGCAAUGCAUUAGCAAUUAGACCUGGGCACCAUCCCCACAGAGCUCAGUCCAAUGAGAUAAGGGCCUUUGUCUUGCUCAUUCAUUAGUUUUAAAGGCUGACUUUAAAAGAUGCCUAUAACAUGUGGUUAACUAAACAAAACUCUGUGUGCUAUAGUAUUGCUUGCUAAAAGUGAAGAGGCUGGAUUUCGCUAGGCAAUUCAGAGAAAGUUUCCAAUGGCCUUCAAACAAAAAUAGAGGAACUCCAGGAAACUAUGUGUUCCAUCUUGAAACUAAGCCUGAGGCAGGAAAUGACCAUGAAAGAUGUUCUGCAGGUUAGAAUAAACCUUUAUUUAGCAGAGAC